UGCAAUCUUCCUGCAAUCUUUCUGUGCUGUGUGGGUUUAAUUUAUUUUACAUUAAAUAAUUUCUCCUUCGGAUAAGGAGAAUUACCCGCUUCUCCGAUUAAAAAGACUGACGUUGAAACAAACUUCCAUAGAGAUUGGCCACUCCACAUCAUUUUUUUUUACAACUUCCUGUAAGCGUUGGCAAAUUAAUGAUCGGCGUUGUACACGUUCCCUCAUUCCAAGCCCGGUCCUGACAUUUAAUGGCGAAAGCUUCUUGCUUCUCUCAAUUUUUGCUGACAGUGUGAUCACAGACUCGAAGUGCAGCAUCUUUAUGUGAGACAAUACGGGGAAUACAAAAGGAUCAUAAAGGAGAUUACGAGAGAUCAUCGAGGUAAAAGAAGAAGAUGAAAAGGAAAGAGGAAGUAUUUUAUAAAUUUCUUUACAGUUUCGAAUCCAAGGUAAACAUUUAAGGCUCCUAGUGCUUACUGCAGCCGUGUUGCAUCGUAACCUCAGAAGCGAGAAAUGACACACUGAAAAUUCUUUCUAGAUAGCACACAAUAAAUUCGCAAAGCGUCCUUUAAGUUUACUACCUCCUCGAAUUGUUAUUCUUUAGAAAUUUGUUGGAAUUGAAGAAUACGAUAAUGACGAUUGGGGAAGUUACACCAUAAUGAACUUCAAGACGAACCGAUUGUGACUGCUUCUUCAAGAUUUCUUCAGAUAUUCGGAUUUGCUAACUCUGCAGGAUCUUCUAUUCUUUAAAAUAAUUUCUCUAUGAACUUACGUUUACCUUUGUGCUGGGUUGUAUAGCGUUUUCAAAUAGAAAGAUACUUGGGAGAGAAACACCUCGAGGUACCUAAAGAUCUAAUCACAUAAGUGGAAAUGUGACAAUGUCGCAGAUAAAACAAACUAUUUCCAAUGCUUAUUAAGUAAAAUUGUAAUUAGUUAAAUACUAAAGUAUUAAUUUAUAUACUUAGAACUCAAAUAAAUUUAAAUUGAUUAUUUAUCAAAUAAAAUAACUUACAUCUUACGUUCACAUUUGAUUUCUACCGUUGGCAUUUGCAUCAAGUGAGAGUCUUAAACUCUUAUUUUGAUAUUUUUAAAAUAAUAAAUAAUUAUGACAUUUACAAAUACGAAUAAUCUUACUAUUAUUACGAAAUUAUUUUUUUAGUCAUUGAAUAAGAUUUUAUUAAUAACAUAUUUAUUGAUUAGAAAGAAGCGUUCGAACCUUCUUAAAACUGCGAUGCAAGAAUUUUCAGCGUUUUAUUUCUCGCUUUUAAUAUCACAAUCCAACACUGGCCGAGCACCUGGGAGCCUUAAUAGUGCUUGGAAUUUUCGUGCGAGUGAACAAUUCGAAUGGCACGAAUUUCAAGAUCGAUGCUUCAAUAGUGUAUAUCGUCCCAUAUCGAACAUUUCGAACUGCUCGAUAUAGUUAGACCUAAAUCUCAUGAGUUGGAACAAAUGAGGGUUUAUCUUUUUGUUUGCAACGACUAUUACUUUCGGUUGGACUAUCAGCGAUGUCCAACCGAUCGACCAUUAAUUUCGAACUCAAUCAUCAACUUCGAAGUCGGACUUAAAGCUCGGGCAUUUCUGUCUGUUCAUCUAGAUUUGUUUGAGCGUAAUUUGUUCCAAUCUCUUGCCUGAGUUUUGAUAAAAUUCAAUACUUAAGUGUUCUUCCCGAUUACUUAUGCCCUAUGCACGUACGAGAUCCUGUGACUUAUACAGAUCCGGCUUAGCUCAACUUAGUUGUCCCGCGCUCGACCGCGACAGAAAAUUGGAAACUACGAUGUCUGCAAUCUCGCCGUUAUCAAGUCGUUGAUUAGUCGUUAUAGAAACGCACGCGCGUAGCCUAGCAACACGCCAUUCAAUGUUCCAUUCCCGAUUCCCGUGAAAGCCACUGCGGCGAGGGCGAUAUCGGCCCGGCAACGACAGUGAGGGAAGCCGCGCGAGCGAUAGUUGCGUCGCGUGCAACCCCGCGACGAGUCUCGCAAUCACGACGACCGAUCAACGACGAUCCCGGAGAUCUUGGCUUCGCGCGGACCGCCAACGGUGACGGACGAUACUUCAAAGGGAAACGGACGUGAACAAUGAGGAUCCCGCACACGAUAUCGCAGAACGUUGUAGCUGCUUACAGGUGCUCGGCGGAGACCUCGCUGUUACCGCAGGAGCAAGAACGUACGCUGCGAGCGGAAGACGCCUCGUGGGACGAUGGCGUAAUCCCCGAUUUAAAGAUUCUUGCGCUUCGCGCUAUAGUCUCGACCUGGAAGGAUAAUCCUAUUCUGGAGGAUUUGCCGACAUGCGCCGACAGGGACGUGUUGCUGGAAAUACUACCGACUGAUCUACCCUUCGAGUUGACGAUACCGAGAAUCGAGGAUGAAUUUUAUUGGGAACGCGCGGCCAAGGACAGGUGGGAACACAAUGACCUGGGCGAACAUGGUGGCUCAUGGCGGCGAUUAUAUUGCGAACGUCACUUAGCCGAGUAUCUGGAAACUUUGCAAGCGAGCUACUUCGAAUCCCAAAGAGAAGAAUGUGAGAAAUUGAUGGCUCUUGUUAAGAACCACGUACAUGUCAUAAGGCUUCGUUCUCUCGUACCGACCAAUAAACAGACAAAGCAAGUGGAGAACGACAAGUUAACCUUAGAGGAAGAUAUUGUGCAUCACAUUCCCAUGGCAGUUAUAUUACCGCGCUUCCCGUAUCUUACCGAGAUUUAUCUCAACUUCGGUAUGAUCUAUAUGAACGACGGUUUCGAAUGGCGGGACUUCGAGUUCUCGCUGGAGGAUUGCUUAAGUCUGGGGGAAGGAAUUAAAGUCAGCCCAAUGUUGAAAAAAUUCAGUUUAACCCGAAGUAAUUUAGAUCAGCCCCGAGUCGCUGCCAUUCUUCAAGGGAUGGUGUCAAAUGAUAAUAUCGAGGAGUUGGAUCUGUCACAUUGUAAAUUGACGGAUACCGGCGCACACGCAGUGGGCGAAUUUCUGUCGAUGCAUCGGAGACUGAGGACCUUGCAUUUGGCGAACAACAAUAUAGGUCCCGACGGAGUCGCCGGUAUCGUUCAUGGACUGAUGAAAGCAAGCUCGACGGCCCUAAAAAAUUUAGAUCUGCGACUAAAUCCUUUGGAAAAUGAGGGAACUAAUCACAUAUGUGCUCUUCUGGUCAGGAACAAAACUUUGGAAACGCUGAAUAUCAGUGGUUGCGAAUUAGGUCCGGAAGACGGCAUAGCGCUGGCCGGUGUGCUUUCUUCCGGUUGCGUGGAACUCGAAGCUUUAUCUCUCGACGUAUCAAACAAUGAUUUUGGACUUACCGCUGGAGAGUCAUUCGAGGCGGCCGUAAGCUCGCGCUCGUACAUUAUUCACUUGGAUGGUCGAAUGUGCAAUUUCUCGAAAGAAUCGGAAUGCUCGAUCACCGAGGGUGCGCGCAGGAAUAAACGAAACGUGAAAAAGGAGAAGGACAAGGCAGUGUUUUCCUAAAGCAGCAAUGUCCAUAAUUCACCCAGCGCCAAGAAUCCGCAACAACAGCCGGAAGUCUGUCGUCAUUUCCAGAUUCAAAGAAUACUGUGCAACGUUUUAUCGGCAGACAAAUCGAUGCCGCCAUCUGCAUCGCAAAGAGGAAAGCGGAGAGCUUAAAAUGAUGGUGUGUCAAUCUCCAGAUCUUAAUCCCAUAGAACUUCUGUGGGAUGAACUUGAUCGCCGGGUCAGGAAGGUUUGUCCCACAUCUUAGAAGCACCUCUUUAGGAGGUCCUCCAGAAAGCAUGGAGUGAAAUACCAAAUUCUGUUCUGGAAAAACUCGUAGAAAGGACGCUGCGAUUGGUAAAAAUAGGUGUUGUCUGCCAAGGGAGGUUUCUUUGAUGAAAAAAAAGCAUGAGUUUUAAGCUAAGGAUUGGUUCUAAUUCGUGAUAUCUGUAACUCUUAGUAAGUGUUUAAUAAGUCUAAUUGUAAACUGAAUAAAAUUUAUCCGUUUUUAAAUAAUAAGUAGUGUUUUAUAAAGAAUUUUUUCCUGUCCGGAAACUUUUCGACGGCAGUGUACGUUUAACGGAAAACGGAAAACGACAUGUGUAUAUGCACUCGCAACACGUACAUACAAAUUUAAUAGCCGGUAAUACCACAAAUUUGCCAGAAUUUGCACAGGGUCCUCGUAUCUCGAACGGCCGUCUCACGUCAAAUCGAUACGCUUUAAAACUCCAUGCGACUUCUUCGCCAUCGCGUGCCGAUGAUAUCGGCAUUUUACAGCGAAUGUUAAUCCCGCGACGCGCUGCCCAAUUUCCUCACCGUGUAAAAUACGUACAGGUAUGCGCACAAUGCAAUUUGAAGUAAUAGCUAAACACCCGCCCUGUGAUCGAUACUGACUGCCUUGUAAUUAAUACAGAACGGGGAUCGAAACCGACGUAAGUUCCGACACGAUGGUUUUUAGUUUAAAUGCUAUAAGCGUGCCAAGGUGAUCUCGAUAGAAGUCUUUCACAGAGCCUAUCGUUGGCGAAGAAUUUUCCGAAAGAUUAUUAUCGAAAUAUACGCGAUCACUCUUUGAUAUUUUUAAAUAGUAAACGCUUACUUACUGUCAUGAGUUUUCGUCGAAUAAACUCAAAUUUUAUUGUAUCGAGUGGCCUUUUAAAAUUAAUGUUACAGGGAAACCUCACGAGGUGUAUUCCUCCAAUCUUGAUAAGCUUUUAAUAUGUUGUUUUCUAGACAAAAAUAAGGAACACCUAUUUUUUUAUACGUACCUAUACGCAUAUUUAGGGGGUAAAACACUCCUUUGAAAAAAAUCGGUUUCUCUUUUGUAGCGAACAUCCGCGAAACUGAAGAUCCAUACCUACAUUUUGAGCCAUGUACAAUAUUUUAUGACGAAAACUGUUCGGGCAGGAGAUGGUCCGGUUGACAAAGAGUGACUCGUACAAAUUUUUGCACCUUUGAUAUUUUGUUACUCUUGCGUCAUUUCUUGGAUUCGUCUUUGAUCUUCCGUCAUAUAUUAAACUUCAUGUUUUUAUACUGUAACUUAACUGUUACGCACUAUCCGCGCUAGAACUAUAAUGUCUUUCAAAAUUGUCAUCUUCUGUCACAGAAUUUGGUGUGCAAAGGUACCAACAAAAUACGCCAAAAAUUAAUUAAAAGGAAAUAAUAGCGUAUGCCAUAGUUCGUGUAUGUGAAGCUAGCGUCUCAUUUCGUGGAAACUCAUUAACUAUUGAGAGUUCUGGCUUCUUUUAGAAUAGUUCUAGAGUUCCUGAUACAUUAAACACAUAGUUCUGGCCUUUAAAGCCAAAAAAUCGAAUAGUGCAAAGUGAGACGCCAACUUCACCCAGCGUCUCACUUUGUCCUCCGCCUAUUUCCCGACGGCUAUUUAUCGGAUUUCAAGCGCCCUAGAGUUCUACAAUAGUUCUAGCAAGAGUUCUGGUGAAAAAACGUUGUUUUUCAAUUUUUAAAUAAUUUUUAUCAGUCGAGAGAUACAUCUUAAUACGGACGAACGUGAGACGCUGGUCGAAAUGUCAGAGUUCUGGCUAUUCUAACACAGUUCUAGUGUAGUUCCGAACGUAUUCUAAUGUUUUCCAAAGAGUUCUAUGCGCUGGCGUACGUGUAUGAUUUUUUAAAAAAUUAAAUUCCCCG
RNA transcript from Vollenhovia emeryi, 5561 nucleotides. It is a transcript of the gene named T-complex-associated testis-expressed protein 1-like, with no coding region annotated. The transcript has 11 exons. The record is from RefSeq and is a predicted model, not a curated record. Lineage: Eukaryota; Metazoa; Arthropoda; Insecta; Hymenoptera; Formicidae.